ACCGUAUAUAAAAUUGGAAGUAAAAGUUUGUAAAUAGUUUUGGAAGUAACAGUUCUGAAAAAGCUAUGGAAAAAAACUAUUGGAUAUAUGACAGUUUUGAAAAUAACGUUAUAGAACUAUCCGAUUGGCCUUAGUAGUCACUCUGGUCGUGCGUCCCUUUUCAGUGUCUACGUUUUGGGUCCUUUGUAAUUAAGCCUUUCUAACAUGGCAACGGAUAUAAUGCAAACUCAUCUCUCGUGCAAACUCUAAUUUGGACUGCAAGAUGUUGAUCUAAGGGGACACAUGACAGAGGUGGAAGGAGGGAUUUAUAAAAGUGUGAUUAAGAGUGAGCGGUUAAGUACAAAAUUACUCAAUCUCUCUGCGCUCCUUGAAUCAACAUCCUAUGAUCAAGAUUAGAGUUUUCAUAGUUUGCACGGGAGAUGAGUUUGCACUAGAUCUGUUGCCUUCUAACAUUGCCUCUCCCACUCAUGGAACCAAACAGCAACUAAAACACACUACAAAUUUACAAUCACUGACGAAUACGC
RNAcentral lists this long non-coding RNA (524 nucleotides) under Sorghum bicolor (sorghum). RNAcentral describes it as "long non-coding RNA (SBIC_LNC003523)". The record is from RNAcentral. Lineage: Eukaryota; Viridiplantae; Streptophyta; Magnoliopsida; Poales; Poaceae.